This 1205-nucleotide ribosomal RNA is filed under the name Salmonella enterica subsp. enterica. RNAcentral's name for it is "partial 23S ribosomal RNA". It matches the Rfam family "Bacterial large subunit ribosomal RNA", at positions 1 to 1206 of the family's 2925-position model. The record is from RNAcentral. Lineage: Bacteria; Pseudomonadati; Pseudomonadota; Gammaproteobacteria; Enterobacterales; Enterobacteriaceae.
AUAUAGGUCAAGCUACAAAGGGCGCAUGGUGAAUGCCUUGGCAUCAGGAGCCGAUGAAGGACGUGAUAAGCUGCGAUAAGCUUCGGGUAGGCGCACAUAGCCUGAGAUCCGAAGAUCUCCGAAUGAGGAAACUCACAUGGGAAACCCCAUGUAUCAUUAAGUGAAUACAUAGCUUAAUGAAGGUAACCCAGGGAACUGAAACAUCUAAGUACCUGGAGGAAGAGAAAGAAAAAUCGAUUUUCUUAGUAGCGGCGAGCGAAAGGGAAAGAGCCCAAACCGGAAACUUGUUUCCGGGGUUGUGGACAUGACAUAAAAGUGGAGGCUAUUGUAACUGAAGAGAACUGGAAAGUUCCACCGUAGAAGGUAAUAGUCCUGUAAGUGAAACGAGAAGACCACGAGUUAUGAUCCAGAGUACCACGAGACACGUGAAACCUUGUGGGAAGCAGGGAGGACCACCUCCCAAGGCUAAAUACUACCUGAUGACCGAUAGUGAAGCAGUACCGUGAGGGAAAGGUGAAAAGAACCCCGGGAGGGGAGUGAAAUAGAACCUGAAACCGUGUGCCUACAACCGCUCAGAGCCCCUUAUGAGGGUGAUGAGGUGCUUUUUGUAGAACGAGCCAACGAGUUACGGUAUGUAGCAAGGUUAAGUACUUAAGGUACGGAGCCGAAGGGAAACCGAGUCUGAAUAGGGCGACUAGUUGCAUGCCGUAGACCCGAAACCGGGUGACCUAUCCAUGGCCAGGUUGAAGCGAGGGUAAAACCUCGUGGAGGACCGAACCACGUUGCUGUUGAAAAAGCAUGGGAUGAGCUGUGGAUAGCGGAGAAAUUCCAAUCGAACCCGGAGAUAGCUGGUUCUCUCCGAAAUAGCUUUAGGGCUAGCGUCGAGUAUGAGUAGUGGAGGUAGAGCACUGAAUGGGCUAGGGGGCAUAGCGCUUACCGAACCUUAUCAAACUCCGAAUGCCACAUACUUUGAGCUCGGCAGUCAGACUACGAAUGAUAAGAUCCGUGGUCAAAAGGGAAACAGCCCAGAUCGUCAGCUAAGGUCCCAAAGUGUAAGUUAAGUGGGAAAGGAUGUGAGAUUUCUAAGACAACUAGGAUGUUGGCUUAGAAGCAGCCAUUCAUUAAAAGAGUGCGUAAUAGCUCACUAGUCGAGAGAUCUUGCGCCGAAAAUGUAACGGGGCUAAACUUACCACCGAAGCUACGGG